UACGUAGGGUGCAGGCGUUGUCCGGAUUUAUUGGGUUUAAAGGGUGCGUAGGCGGCUUUGUAAGUCAGUGGUGAAAUACUCUAGCUUAACUAGAGGGGUGCCAUUGAUACUGCGGAGCUUGAGUACAGAUGAGGUAGGCGGAAUUGACGGUGUAGCGGUGAAAUGCAUAGAUAUCGUCAAGAACACCGAUAGCGAAGGCAGCUUACUGGGCUGUAACUGACGCUGAUGCACGAAAGUGUGGGGAGCAAACAGG
RNAcentral lists this ribosomal RNA (253 nucleotides) under uncultured bacterium. RNAcentral's name for it is "partial 16S ribosomal RNA". It matches the Rfam family "Bacterial small subunit ribosomal RNA", at positions 524 to 776 of the family's 1533-position model. The record is from RNAcentral.